RNAcentral lists this ribosomal RNA (392 nucleotides) under uncultured bacterium. RNAcentral's name for it is "partial 16S ribosomal RNA". It matches the Rfam family "Bacterial small subunit ribosomal RNA", at positions 523 to 918 of the family's 1533-position model. The record is from RNAcentral.
ACACGUAGGGGCCUGACGUUGUUCGGAAUCAUUGGGCGUAAAGGGCGCGCAGGCGGCCGUCCAAGUCCGGUGUUAAAUGGUCGGGCUCAACCCGAUCAUGCGCUGGAAACUGGGCGGCUGGAGUCCCGGAGGGGAUGCCGGAAUUCCAGGUGGAGGGGUGAAAUCUGUAGAUAUCUGGAAGAACACCGAUGGCGAAGGCAGGCAUCUGGCCGGAGACUGACGCUGAGGCGCGAAGGCGCGGGGAGCGAACAGGUUUAGAUACCCUGGUAGUCCGCGCAGUAAACGAUGCGCACCAGGUGUCGGGCGGCAGCGCCCGGUACCGGAGCAAACGCGAUGAGUGCGCCGCCUGGGGAGUAUGCCCGCAAGGUUGAAACUCAAAUGAAUUGGCGGGG